CCUACGGGUGGCAGCAGUGAGGAAUAUUGGGCAAUGGACGAGAGUCUGAACCAGCCAAGUAGCGUGAAGGAUGACUGCCCUAUGGGUUGUAAACUUCUUUUAUAUGGGAAUAAAAUGUUCCACGUGUGGGAUUUUGUAUGUACCAUAUGAAUAAGGAUGGGCUAACUCCGUGCCAGCAGCCGCGGUAAUACGGAGGAUCCGAGCGUUAUCCGGAUUUAUUGGGUUUAAAGGGAGCGUAGGUGGAUUGUUAAGUCAGUUGUGAAAGUUUGCGGCUCAACCGUAAAAUUGCAGUUGAAACUGGCAGUCUUGAGUACAGUAGAGGUGGUCGGAAGUCGUGGUGUAGCGGUGAAAUGCUUAGAUAUAACGAAGAACUCCGAUUGCGAAGGCAGCUCGCUGGACUGCAACUGACACUGAGGCUCGAAAGUGUGGGUAUCAAACAGGAUUAGAUACCCCAGUAGUC
RNAcentral lists this ribosomal RNA (460 nucleotides) under uncultured bacterium. RNAcentral describes it as "partial 16S ribosomal RNA". It matches the Rfam family "Bacterial small subunit ribosomal RNA", at positions 338 to 795 of the family's 1533-position model. The record is from RNAcentral.